GGCGGACGGGUGAGUAACGCGUGGGAAUCUACCCAGUAGUGGGGGACAACUACCGGAAACGGUAGCUAAUACCGCAUACGCCCUAUGGGGGAAAGGCUUCGGCCGCUAUUGGAUGAGCCCGCGUCAGAUUAGCUAGUUGGUAGGGUAAAGGCCUACCAAGGCAACGAUCUGUAGCUGGUCUGAGAGGACGAACAGCCACACUGGGACUGAGACACGGCCCAGACUCCUACGGGAGGCAGCAGUGGGGAAUAUUGGACAAUGGGCGAAAGCCUGAUCCAGCAAUGCCGCGUGUGUGAAGAAGGCCUGCGGGUUGUAAAGCACUUUCAGUUGGGAAGAUGAUGACGUUACCAACAGAAGAAGCACCGGCUAAAUCCGUGCCAGCAGCCGCGGUAAUACGGAUGGUGCGAGCGUUAAUCGGAAUUACUGGGCGUAAAGCGCGCGUAGGCGGCUAAGUCAGUCAGAAGUGAAAGCCCCGGGCUCAACCUGGGAAUUGCUUUUGAUACUGCUUAGCUAGAGUUUGGUAGAGGAUAGUGGAAUUCCAGGUGUAGCGGUGAAAUGCGUAGAUAUCUGGAGGAACAUCAGUGGCGAAGGCGACUGUCUGGACCAAAACUGACGCUGAGGUGCGAAAGCGUGGGUAGCAAACAGGAUUAGAUACCCUGGUAGUCCACGCCGU
This 673-nucleotide ribosomal RNA is filed under the name uncultured Gammaproteobacteria bacterium. Its description in RNAcentral is "bacterial SSU rRNA". It matches the Rfam family "Bacterial small subunit ribosomal RNA", at positions 97 to 803 of the family's 1533-position model. The record is from RNAcentral. Lineage: Bacteria; Pseudomonadati; Pseudomonadota; Gammaproteobacteria.